RNAcentral lists this ribosomal RNA (253 nucleotides) under uncultured bacterium. RNAcentral describes it as "partial 16S ribosomal RNA". It matches the Rfam family "Bacterial small subunit ribosomal RNA", at positions 524 to 776 of the family's 1533-position model. The record is from RNAcentral.
UACGGAGGGUGCAAGCGUUGUUCGGAAUCACUGGGCGUAAAGCGCGUGUAGGCGGCCUCUUAAGUCUGGUGUGAAAGCCCGGGGCUUACCCCCGGAAGUGCACUGGAGACUGGGAGACUUGAGUACCGGAGAGGAGGGUGGAAUUCCUGGUGUAGCGGUUAAAUGCGUAGAUAUCAGGAGGAGCACCGGUGGCGAAGGCGGCCCUCUGGACGGCUACUGACGCUGAGACGCGAAAGCGUUGGGAGCAAACAGG